GGUGGCGUAGCUCAGUUGGAUAGAGCAACAGCCUUCUAAGCUGUAGGUCGUAGGUUCGAGUCCUACCGCCAUCA
RNAcentral lists this transfer RNA (74 nucleotides) under Oligoflexia bacterium. RNAcentral's name for it is "tRNA-Arg". It matches the Rfam family "tRNA". From Rfam's summary of the family: Transfer RNA (tRNA) molecules are approximately 80 nucleotides in length. Their secondary structure includes four short double-helical elements and three loops (D, anti-codon, and T loops). Further hydrogen bonds mediate the characteristic L-shaped molecular structure. tRNAs have two regions of fundamental functional importance: the anti-codon, which is responsible for specific mRNA codon recognition, and the 3' end, to which the tRNAs corresponding amino acid is attached (by aminoacyl-tRNA synthetases). tRNAs cope with the degeneracy of the genetic code in two manners: having more than one tRNA (with a specific anti-codon) for a particular amino acid; and 'wobble' base-pairing, i.e. permitting non-standard base-pairing at the 3rd anti-codon position. Lineage: Bacteria; Pseudomonadati; Bdellovibrionota; Oligoflexia. The record is from RNAcentral.